UCCUACGGGAGGCAGCAGUAGGGAAUUUUGCACAAUGGGCGCAAGCCUGAUGCAGCGACGCCGCGUGGAGGAUGACGGUUUUCGGAUUGUAAACUCCUGUUAAGUGGGAAUAAAUGCUCUCGUUUAAUAAACGAGAGAGCUGAAGGUACCACUAGAGAAAGCUCCGGCUAACUUCGUGCCAGCAGCCGCGGUAAUACGAAGGGAGCAAGCGUUAUUCGGAAUUACUGGGCGUAAAGGGCGUGUAGGCGGUUUGUUUAGUCAGUAGUUAAAGAUCCCGGCUUAACCGGGAAAGGGCUAUUGAUACUGGCAGACUAGAGGAUAAGAGAGAGGAGUGGAAUUCUCGGAGUAGCGGUAAAAUGCGUAGAUCUCGAGAGGAACACCGAUGGCGAAGGCAGCUCCUUGGCUUAUUCCUGACGCUGAGACGCGAAAGCGUGGGGAGCAAACAGGAUUAGAUACCCUGGUAGUCCUCGCCGUAAACGAUGAUCACUGGAUGUUGGGUUUGCUUAGCAGGCUCAGUGUCGAAGCUAACGCGUUAAGUGAUCCGCCUGGGGAGUACGGUCGCAAGAUUAAAACUCAAAUGAAUUGACGG
RNAcentral lists this ribosomal RNA (589 nucleotides) under uncultured bacterium. Its description in RNAcentral is "bacterial SSU rRNA". It matches the Rfam family "Bacterial small subunit ribosomal RNA", at positions 337 to 916 of the family's 1533-position model. The record is from RNAcentral.